RNAcentral lists this ribosomal RNA (634 nucleotides) under uncultured bacterium. RNAcentral describes it as "bacterial SSU rRNA". It matches the Rfam family "Bacterial small subunit ribosomal RNA", at positions 108 to 758 of the family's 1533-position model. The record is from RNAcentral.
GAGUAACGCGUGAGGAACCUGCCUCAAAGAGGGGGACAACAGUUGGAAACGACUGCUAAUACCGCAUAAGCCCACGGUGCCGCAUGGCACAGAGGGAAAAGGAGCAAUCCGCUUUGAGAUGGCCUCGCGUCCGAUUAGCUAGUUGGUGAGGUAACGGCCCACCAAGGCGACGAUCGGUAGCCGGACUGAGAGGUUGAACGGCCACAUUGGGACUGAGACACGGCCCAGACUCCUACGGGAGGCAGCAGUGGGGAAUAUUGCACAAUGGGGGAAACCCUGAUGCAGCGACGCCGCGUGGAGGAAGAAGGUCUUCGGAUUGUAAACUCCUGUUGUUGGGGAAGAUAAUGACGGUACCCAACAAGGAAGUGACGGCUAACUACGUGCCAGCAGCCGCGGUAAAACGUAGGUCACAAGCGUUGUCCGGAAUUACUGGGUGUAAAGGGAGCGCAGGCGGGAAGACAAGUUGGAAGUGAAAUCUAUGGGCUCAACCCAUAAACUGCUUUCAAAACUGUUUUUCUUGAGUAGUGCAGAGGUAGGCGGAAUUCCCGGUGUAGCGGUGGAAUGCGUAGAUAUCGGGAGGAACACCAGUGGCGAAGGCGGCCUACUGGGCACCAACUGACGCUGAGGCUCGAAA